Molecule: ribosomal RNA, 492 nt
Filed under: uncultured bacterium
Lineage: Bacteria
Description: bacterial SSU rRNA
Rfam family: Bacterial small subunit ribosomal RNA
Source: RNAcentral
AACGAACGUUGGCGGCGUGGAUGAGGCAUGCAAGUCGAACGUGAAAGCCUUCGGGUGAGUAGCGUGGCGGACGGGCGAGUAACACGUAACCAAGCUGCCUGUCAGACGGGGAUAACUCCGGGAAACCGGAGCUAAGACCCGAUGGUCUUGCGGGAUCGCAUGUUCCUGCAAGUAAAUGGACGGGACCCUCCGGGGCCGUCUGCUGACAGAGGUGGUUGCGGCCCAUCAGCUAGUUGGUAGGGUAAUGGCCUACCAAGGCAACGACGGGUAGCCGGCCUAAGAGGGUGGUCGGCCGCACUGGGACUGAGACACUGCCCAGACUCCUACGGGAGGCUGCAGUCGAGAAUCUUCCGCAAUGGGCGAAAGCCUGACGGAGCGACGCCGCGUGGAGGACGAAGGCCUUCGGGUUGUAACGUACCUCGUCACGAGUUAAGAAGGUUACGCGGACGAACGAAGUCUGCGGACGUUGACGUAAGCUCGAGAGGAAGCACU